GACGAACGCUGGCGGCGUGCUUAACACAUGCAAGUCGAACGGAAAGGCCCUGCUUUUGUGGGGUGCUCGAGUGGCGAACGGGUGAGUAACACGUGAGUAACCUGCCCUCGACUUUGGGAUAACUUCAGGAAACUGGGGCUAAUACCGGAUAGGAGCUCCUGCUGCAUGGUGGGGGUUGGAAAGUUACGGCGGUUGGGGAUGGACUCGCGGCUUAUCAGCUUGUUGGUGGGGUAGUGGCUUACCAAGGCUUUGACGGGUAGCCGGCCUAAGAGGGUGACCGGCCACAUUGGGACUGAGAUACGGCCCAGACUCCUACGGGAGGCAGCAGUGGGGAAUAUUGCACAAUGGGCGGAAGCCUGAUGCAGCAACGCCGCGUGCGGGAUGACGGCCUUCGGGUUGUAAACCGCUUUCGCCUGUGACGAAGCGUGAGUGACGGUAAUGGGUAAAGAAGCACCGGCUAACUACGUG
Molecule: ribosomal RNA, 468 nt
Filed under: uncultured bacterium
Lineage: Bacteria
Description: partial 16S ribosomal RNA
Rfam family: Bacterial small subunit ribosomal RNA
Source: RNAcentral